UCAGACUCGCAACAAUACAAUGUGGAGGAAUGCACACCUGUUACUUCACCUCAGAUGGCCCCCUUGACCUAAUGUUCUUUUAUUUAUCUACAAGACUAGUUAGUACUUUACUAUUUUAACUAGAAUUGCCUUCUUAGCGAGCUAGCUAGCUACAUAGCUAGUGCGCAUGACAGACGGUCCCAAAACAGUCGAGAGGACCCCCGUCCUCAGAGCCUCUACGGGGGAGUGUGCGGCCAGGUGGACGCUGAACUAAUAAGCCGGUGCGAAGUGUGCGCUUGUUCUCGCUGGGUGGCUGACUGAAAUGUCAGCGCCGAAGGAACAGAUAGUAAGGAGGCUGGAUCAUCAUCGAUGGUCAGACGCCCUCCUGUGGUCAGUUGAUGCAGCUGUUGCUGGUUGGAGGUUGUCAAUCUUGAGAGAAUGCACACUAGAGGACAUGAAGAAGGAGUCUAAAAUGUUGAAAGUAAUUUAUUAGGUCAACGUUGCAAAUGAUAAAGCUGUUAUGUGGAUGUAUUACCUGCAGUCGCCAACAGAGGGCGGUAGAGACAGCUUCUUCUGACCAAGGUCAACUUGUGAUGUCUGUCAUUGUUUGUCAGCCAUUCAGCAUUUCCAAUAAAUACUGUUUUGGGCGAAUAUGUAAAACCCAACAUUUAUAUAAUCAGCUUGACUUUGUUUUUCAACGACUCUAAGGCAGCGUCUGAUCAUAUGGACGAGCAGAUAUUCUUUAUUCGGGCUGUGCAAGCCCUAAUUUAAUGCCACAGUUGUUAUUUGUUUGCCUCCACCGUG
Nerophis lumbriciformis (worm pipefish) is the source of this 783-nucleotide long non-coding RNA. RefSeq lists it as uncharacterized. NCBI's taxonomy places the organism in Eukaryota, Metazoa, Chordata, Actinopteri, Syngnathiformes, Syngnathidae. The record is from RefSeq and is a predicted model, not a curated record.